GUCUGUAGCCAUACCACUUUGAACACUCCCAUAUCAUCUGAUCUCAGAUGCUAAGUAGAGUCUGGCCUGGUUAGUAGUUGCAAAGG
RNAcentral lists this ribosomal RNA (86 nucleotides) under Jaculus jaculus (lesser Egyptian jerboa). The record is from RNAcentral. Lineage: Eukaryota; Metazoa; Chordata; Mammalia; Rodentia; Dipodidae.